Molecule: ribosomal RNA, 304 nt
Filed under: uncultured bacterium
Lineage: Bacteria
Description: bacterial SSU rRNA
Rfam family: Bacterial small subunit ribosomal RNA
Source: RNAcentral
ACUCCUACGGGAGGCAGCAGUGGGGAAUAUUGCACAAUGGGCGCAAGCCUGAUGCAGCCAUGCCGCGUGUAUGAAGAAGGCCUUCGGGUUGUAAAGUACUUUCAGCAGUGAGGAAGGUGAGUAGUAGUUAAUAGCUGCAUUAUUUGAUCGUUAGCAUAGCAGAAGAAGCGACCGCUAACUCCGUGCCAGCAGCCGCGGUAAUACGGAGGGUGCGAGCGUUAAUCGGAAUUACUGGGCGUAAAGCGCAUGCAGGUGGUUUGUUAAGUCAGAUGUGAAAGCCCGGGGCUCAACCUCGGAAUAUGAC